GGGUUGUGAGGUUAAGCGACUAAGCGUACACGGUGGAUGCCCUGGCAGUCAGAGGCGAUGAAGGACGUGCUAAUCUGCGAUAAGCGUCGGUAAGGUGAUAUGAACCGUUAUAACCGGCGAUUUCCGAAUGGGGAAACCCAGUGUGUUUCGACACACUAUCAUUAACUGAAUCCAUAGGUUAAUGAGGCGAACCGGGGGAACUGAAACAUCUAAGUACCCCGAGGAAAAGAAAUCAACCGAGAUUCCCCCAGUAGCGGCGAGCGAACGGGGAGCAGCCCAGAGCCUGAAUCAGUGUGUGUGUUAGUGGAAGCGUCUGGAAAGGCGCGCGAUACAGGGUGACAGCCCCGUACACAAAAAUGCACAUGCUGUGAGCUCGAUGAGUAGGGCGGGACACGUGGUAUCCUGUCUGAAUAUGGGGGGACCAUCCUCCAAGGCUAAAUACUCCUGACUGACCGAUAGUGAACCAGUACCGUGAGGGAAAGGCGAAAAGAACCCCGGCGAGGGGAGUGAAAAAGAACCUGAAACCGUGUACGUACAAGCAGUGGGAGCACGCUUAGGCGUGUGACUGCGUACCUUUUGUAUAAUGGGUCAGCGACUUAUAUUCUGUAGCAAGGUUAACCGAAUAGGGGAGCCGAAGGGAAACCGAGUCUUAACUGGGCGUUAAGUUGCAGGGUAUAGACCCGAAACCCGGUGAUCUAGCCAUGGGCAGGUUGAAGGUUGGGUAACACUAACUGGAGGACCGAACCGACUAAUGUUGAAAAAUUAGCGGAUGACUUGUGGCUGGGGGUGAAAGGCCAAUCAAACCGGGAGAUAGCUGGUUCUCCCCGAAAGCUAUUUAGGUAGCGCCUCGUGAAUUCAUCUCCGGGGGUAGAGCACUGUUUCGGCAAGGGGGUCAUCCCGACUUACCAACCCGAUGCAAACUGCGAAUACCGGAGAAUGUUAUCACGGGAGACACACGGCGGGUGCUAACGUCCGUCGUGAAGAGGGAAACAACCCAGACCGCCAGCUAAGGUCCCAAAGUCAUGGUUAAGUGGGAAACGAUGUGGGAAGGCCCAGACAGCCAGGAUGUUGGCUUAGAAGCAGCCAUCAUUUAAAGAAAGCGUAAUAGCUCACUGGUCGAGUCGGCCUGCGCGGAAGAUGUAACGGGGCUAAACCAUGCACCGAAGCUGCGGCAGCGACGCUUAUGCGUUGUUGGGUAGGGGAGCGUUCUGUAAGCCUGCGAAGGUGUGCUGUGAGGCAUGCUGGAGGUAUCAGAAGUGCGAAUGCUGACAUAAGUAACGAUAAAGCGGGUGAAAAGCCCGCUCGCCGGAAGACCAAGGGUUCCUGUCCAACGUUAAUCGGGGCAGGGUGAGUCGACCCCUAAGGCGAGGCCGAAAGGCGUAGUCGAUGGGAAACAGGUUAAUAUUCCUGUACUUGGUGUUACUGCGAAGGGGGGACGGAGAAGGCUAUGUUGGCCGGGCGACGGUUGUCCCGGUUUAAGCGUGUAGGCUGGUUUUCCAGGCAAAUCCGGAAAAUCAAGGCUGAGGCGUGAUGACGAGGCACUACGGUGCUGAAGCAACAAAUGCCCUGCUUCCAGGAAAAGCCUCUAAGCAUCAGGUAACAUCAAAUCGUACCCCAAACCGACACAGGUGGUCAGGUAGAGAAUACCAAGGCGCUUGAGAGAACUCGGGUGAAGGAACUAGGCAAAAUGGUGCCGUAACUUCGGGAGAAGGCACGCUGAUAUGUAGGUGAAGUCCCUCGCGGAUGGAGCUGAAAUCAGUCGAAGAUACCAGCUGGCUGCAACUGUUUAUUAAAAACACAGCACUGUGCAAACACGAAAGUGGACGUAUACGGUGUGACGCCUGCCCGGUGCCGGAAGGUUAAUUGAUGGGGUCAGCGCAAGCGAAGCUCUUGAUCGAAGCCCCGGUAAACGGCGGCCGUAACUAUAACGGUCCUAAGGUAGCGAAAUUCCUUGUCGGGUAAGUUCCGACCUGCACGAAUGGCGUAAUGAUGGCCAGGCUGUCUCCACCCGAGACUCAGUGAAAUUGAACUCGCUGUGAAGAUGCAGUGUACCCGCGGCAAGACGGAAAGACCCCGUGAACCUUUACUAUAGCUUGACACUGAACAUUGAGCCUUGAUGUGUAGGAUAGGUGGGAGGCUUUGAAGUGUGGACGCCAGUCUGCAUGGAGCCGACCUUGAAAUACCACCCUUUAAUGUUUGAUGUUCUAACGUUGACCCGUAAUCCGGGUUGCGGACAGUGUCUGGUGGGUAGUUUGACUGGGGCGGUCUCCUCCUAAAGAGUAACGGAGGAGCACGAAGGUUGGCUAAUCCUGGUCGGACAUCAGGAGGUUAGUGCAAUGGCAUAAGCCAGCUUGACUGCGAGCGUGACGGCGCGAGCAGGUGCGAAAGCAGGUCAUAGUGAUCCGGUGGUUCUGAAUGGAAGGGCCAUCGCUCAACGGAUAAAAGGUACUCCGGGGAUAACAGGCUGAUACCGCCCAAGAGUUCAUAUCGACGGCGGUGUUUGGCACCUCGAUGUCGGCUCAUCACAUCCUGGGGCUGAAGUAGGUCCCAAGGGUAUGGCUGUUCGCCAUUUAAAGUGGUACGCGAGCUGGGUUUAGAACGUCGUGAGACAGUUCGGUCCCUAUCUGCCGUGGGCGCUGGAGAACUGAGGGGGGCUGCUCCUAGUACGAGAGGACCGGAGUGGACGCAUCACUGGUGUUCGGGUUGUCAUGCCAAUGGCACUGCCCGGUAGCUAAAUGCGGAAGAGAUAAGUGCUGAAAGCAUCUAAGCACGAAACUUGCCCCGAGAUGAGUUCUCCCUGACCCUUUAAGGGUCCUGAAGGAACGUUGAAGACGACGACGUUGAUAGGCCGGGUGUGUAAGCGCAGCGAUGCGUUGAGCUAACCGGUACUAAUGAACCGUGAGGCUUAACCUUACAACGCCGAAGCUGUU
This 2930-nucleotide ribosomal RNA is filed under the name Escherichia coli. RNAcentral's name for it is "23S ribosomal RNA". It matches the Rfam family "Bacterial large subunit ribosomal RNA". Lineage: Bacteria; Pseudomonadati; Pseudomonadota; Gammaproteobacteria; Enterobacterales; Enterobacteriaceae. The record is from RNAcentral.